AUGAACGCUGGCGGCGUGCCUAAUACAUGCAAGUCGAGCGAACAGACGAGGAGCUUGCUCCUCUGACGUUAGCGGCGGACGGGUGAGUAACACGUGGAUAACCUACCUAUAAGACUGGGAUAACUUCGGGAAACCGGAGCUAAUACCGGAUAAUAUAUUGAACCGCAUGGUUCAAUAGUGAAAGACGGUUUUGCUGUCACUUAUAGAUGGAUCCGCGCCGCAUUAGCUAGUUGGUAAGGUAACGGCUUACCAAGGCAACGAUGCGUAGCCGACCUGAGAGGGUGAGCGGCCACACUGGAACUGUGACACGGUCCAGACUCCUACGGGAGGCAGCAGUAGGGAAUCGUCCGCAAUGGGCGAAAGACUGACGGAGCAACGCCGCGGGAGUGAUGAAGGUCUUCGGAUCGUAAAACUCGGUUAUUAGGGAAUAACAAAUGUGUAAGUAACUAGGCACGUCUUGACGGUACCUAAGUAGAAAGCCACGGCUAACUACGUG
This 496-nucleotide ribosomal RNA is filed under the name uncultured bacterium. RNAcentral describes it as "partial 16S ribosomal RNA". It matches the Rfam family "Bacterial small subunit ribosomal RNA", at positions 29 to 507 of the family's 1533-position model. The record is from RNAcentral.